Molecule: ribosomal RNA, 396 nt
Filed under: uncultured bacterium
Lineage: Bacteria
Description: bacterial SSU rRNA
Rfam family: Bacterial small subunit ribosomal RNA
Source: RNAcentral
GACGAACGCUGGCGGCGUGCUUAACACAUGCAAGUCGAGCGGUAAGGCCCUUUCGGGGGUACACGAGCGGCGAACGGGUGAGUAACACGUGGGUAACCUACCCUAGAGUGGGGAAUAACUAGCCGAAAGGUUAGCUAAUACCGCGUACGCUCCUUGGACUUCGGUUCAGGGAGGAAAGCGAUGCCGAGGGUAUCGCGCUCUUGGAUGGGCUCAUGUCCUAUCAGCUUGUUGGUGAGGUAACGGCUCACCAAGGCUUCGACGGGUAGCUGGUCUGAGAGGACGAUCAGCCACACUGGCACUGCGACACGGGCCAGACUCCUACGGGAGGCAGCAGUAAGGAAUAUUGCGCAAUGGGCAAAGCCUGACGCAGCGACGCCGCGUGGGGAUGAAGGUCUU